Molecule: transfer-messenger RNA, 352 nt
Filed under: Actinomycetota bacterium
Lineage: Bacteria; Bacillati; Actinomycetota
Description: Actinobacteria bacterium (freshwater metagenome) transfer-messenger RNA
Rfam family: transfer-messenger RNA
About the family: Bacterial tmRNA, also known as 10Sa RNA or SsrA, is named for its dual tRNA and mRNA-like properties. Its role is to liberate the mRNA from a stalled ribosome. To accomplish this part of the tmRNA is used as a reading frame that ends in a translation stop signal.
Source: RNAcentral
GGGGGCGAUAGGUUUCGACGGGAAUAGGUUGAGCUUGGAUUGCAAGCCAAGUGCCAGAGCUUGUAAAAACUGGGUUAAACAUAAACGCUAACGAUUCAGAGUUAGCCUUAGCAGCCUAGAACUAAGCUGCUACGUCUGUUAGAAGGUCUCCUGCACUUUUUAAUGGGCGCCGUUUAGCAGGAUACCUUAUAAUAGCUUGUCUGCAGCUAUUGUAAGGGAAAUUUAAGCAGACUAGCUUAGCUUAACCCUGUCCAUCUGGUUGUGAUAAGCAAAAUUUGAAGAUGGAAUAAGCUUGUAGAAGUCCUUGUGGCAAUAUUUUCGGACGCGGGUUCAAUUCCCGCCGCCUCCACCA